GUUGUUUUCUGAACUUAUUAGAUGGCAGGGCUCUGGAAACUUCUCUGCCCCCUGGUGCCGUCUCUAAUGGCAGUGCCAGACUGAUGCUUCCACAUUGGAGGACUCAAUACAAGAUGCGGCAGAAACAAUGUAAACAAAGUCCAAGGACCAGAUGGUAUUCACCCAUGAGCACUUAAGGAACUAAGUGUUAAAAUAAGCAAACCUCUAUUUUCACUAUUUUAGGAAACUUACUGGAG
Molecule: non-coding RNA, 236 nt
Organism: Pelobates cultripes (western spadefoot toad)
Lineage: Eukaryota; Metazoa; Chordata; Amphibia; Anura; Pelobatidae
Source: the annotation of a GenBank genome assembly